Molecule: transfer RNA, 66 nt
Filed under: Geukensia demissa (ribbed mussel)
Lineage: Eukaryota; Metazoa; Mollusca; Bivalvia; Mytilida; Mytilidae
Description: tRNA-Tyr
Source: RNAcentral
UUGUGUGAUGGCUGAAAUUAAGCGGUAAAUUGUAAAUUUAUUUAUGAGAACUAUCUCUUGCAUAAU